AGGAAAAAAAGGACUUGGGAUUACCUUGAAUUUGAAGAAGAAGAAGACAGACAACUGGCAGACUCUGUGGCUGCUCUGACAUACCUAGUCUUUGUUCAGGGCAUCGGUACCGACCAGCUUCCCAUGGUCUUAAGCCCUUCAUACCUUUUGCAGUUGAACAUGGAGCACAUUGAAGUGCUUCUGCAAAGAACAGAACAGUCUGUUUACUCCAAAGGCUUGGAACUGCUGGAGACUAGCUUAUUGAGAUUAGAAGACAACAGCCUAUGUUAUCAGUACCUAGAAAUCAAGAGUUUCCUUGCUGUGCCUCAGGGCUUAGUCAAAGUCAUGACACUCUGUCCCAUUGAGACACUGGUAUGUAUGAUUUGGGGUAACUGGUGAGUUACAGUAAG
Molecule: long non-coding RNA, 389 nt
Filed under: Rattus norvegicus (Norway rat)
Lineage: Eukaryota; Metazoa; Chordata; Mammalia; Rodentia; Muridae
Description: long non-coding RNA NONRATT009185
Source: RNAcentral